RNAcentral lists this ribosomal RNA (472 nucleotides) under uncultured bacterium. RNAcentral describes it as "bacterial SSU rRNA". It matches the Rfam family "Bacterial small subunit ribosomal RNA", at positions 335 to 799 of the family's 1533-position model. The record is from RNAcentral.
ACUCCUACGGGAGGCAGCAGUGGGGAAUAUUGCACAAUGGGCGCAAGCCUGAUGCAGCCAUGCCGCGUGUGUGAAGAAGGCCUUCGGGUUGUAAAGCACUUUCAGUCGUGAGGAAGGUAGUGUAGUUAAUAGCUGCAUUAUUUGACGUUAGCGACAGAAGAAGCACCGGCUAACUCCGUGCCAGCAGCCGCGGUAAUACGGAGGGGGUUAGCGUUGUUCGGAAUUACUGGGCGUAAAGCGCGCGUAGGCGGAUUGGAAAGUUGGGGUGAAAUCCCGGGGCUCAACCCCGGAACUGCCUCCAAAACAUCCCAGUCUUGAGUUCGAGAGAGGUGAGUGGAAUUCCGAGUGUAGAGGUGAAAUUCGUAGAUAUUCGGAGGAACACCAGUGGCGAAGGCGGCUCACUGGCUCGAUACUGACGCUGAGGUGCGAAAGUGUGGGAGCAAAACAGGAUUAGAUACCCUGGUAGGCUCUG